GACGAACGCUGGCGGCGUGCUUAACACAUGCAAGUCGAACGGUGAAGGGACCAGCUUGCUGGUUCUGGAUGAGCGGCGAACGGGUGAGUAACACGUGAGUAACCUGCCCCCUUCUUCUGGAUAAUCGCAUGAAAGUGUGGCUAAGACGGGAUAUUUUGGGGCUGUCGCAUGGCCGGCCGGGGAAAGAGCUUGCUGCGGUGGGGGAUGGGCUCGCGGCCUAUCAGCCUGAUGGGGGCGUGAUGGCCUACCAAGGCGGUGAGGGGUAGCCGGCCUGGGAGGGGGGACGGUCACACUGGGACUGGGACACGGACCAGGCUACUACGGGACGGAGCAGUGGCGAAUAGGAGGCAGUGGGCGCGAACCUGAUACAGCGGGGCCGCGUGAGAGAUGGAGGCGUUCGGGUUGUGAACCACUUUCGAGGGUGGAAAAGGCCUGCUACUUGUGAGUGGGUUGACGGUAGCUGGAGAAGAAGCGCCGGCUAACUACGUG
Molecule: ribosomal RNA, 489 nt
Filed under: uncultured bacterium
Lineage: Bacteria
Description: partial 16S ribosomal RNA
Rfam family: Bacterial small subunit ribosomal RNA
Source: RNAcentral